RNAcentral lists this non-coding RNA (21 nucleotides) under Caenorhabditis elegans. The record is from RNAcentral. Lineage: Eukaryota; Metazoa; Nematoda; Chromadorea; Rhabditida; Rhabditidae.
UGAAGCCCUUGCGAACAGGAU